CGCGUAGGCGGCGGUGUAAGGACCACGUGAAAGCCCUCGGCUCAACCGAGGAAGGGCGUGGUCGACUGCACGGCUAGAGUUCUGGAGGGGGAGGCGGAAUUCCUGGUGGAGCGGUGAAAUGCGUAGAGAUCAGGAAGAACGUCAGUGGCGAAGGCGGCCUCCUGGACAGAAACUGACGCUGAGGUGCGAGAGCGUGGGGAGCGAACG
This 207-nucleotide ribosomal RNA is filed under the name uncultured bacterium. RNAcentral's name for it is "partial 16S ribosomal RNA". It matches the Rfam family "Bacterial small subunit ribosomal RNA", at positions 568 to 774 of the family's 1533-position model. The record is from RNAcentral.